GCGGCGAGCGAAACGGGAAGAGCCCAAACCAACAAGCUUGCUUGUUGGGGUUGUAGGACACUCUAUACGGAGUUACAAAGGACGACAUUAGACGAAUCAUCUGGAAAGAUGAAUCAAAGAAGGUAAUAAUCCUGUAGUCGAAAAUGUUGUCUCUCUUGAGUGGAUCCUGAGUACGACGGAGCACGUGAAAUUCCGUCGGAAUCUGGGAGGACCAUCUCCUAAGGCUAAAUACUCUCUAGUGACCGAUAGUGAACCAGUACCGUGAGGGAAAGGUGAAAAGCACCCCGGAAGGGGAGUGAAAUAGAACCUGAAACCGUGUGCUUACAAGUAGUCAGAGCCCGUUAAUGGGUGAUGGCGUGCCUUUUGUAGAAUGAACCGGCGAGUUACGAUUUGAUGCAAGGUUAAGCAGUAAAUGUGGAGCCGUAGCGAAAGCGAGUCUGAAUAGGGCGUUUAGUAUUUGGUCGUAGACCCGAAACCAGGUGAUCUACCCUUGGUCAGGUUGAAGUUCAGGUAACACUGAAUGGAGGACCGAACCGACUUACGUUGAAAAGUGAGCGGAUGAACUGAGGGUAGCGGAGAAAUUCCAAUCGAACCUGGAGAUAGCUGGUUCUCUCCGAAAUAGCUUUAGGGCUAGCCUCAAGUGAUGAUUAUUGGAGGUAGAGCACUGUUUGGACGAGGGGCCCCUCUCGGGUUACCGAAUUCAGACAAACUCCGAAUGCCAAUUAAUUUAACUUGGGAGUCAGAACAUGGGUGAUAAGGUCCGUGUUCGAAAGGGAAACAGCCCAGACCACCAGCUAAGGUCCCAAAAUAUAUGUUAAGUGGAAAAGGAUGUGGCGUUGCCCAGACAACUAGGAUGUUGGCUUAGAAGCAGCCAUCAUUUAAAGAGUGCGUAAUAGCUCACUAGUCGAGUGACACUGCGCCGAAAAUGUACCGGGGCUAAACAUAUUACCGAAGCUGUGGAUUGUCCUUUGGACAAUGGUAGGAGAGCGUUCUAAGGGCGUUGAAGCAUGAUCGUAAGGACAUGUGGAGCGCUUAGAAGUGAGAAUGCCGGUGUGAGUAGCGAAAGACGGGUGAGAAUCCCGUCCACCGAUUGACUAAGGUUUCCAGAGGAAGGCUCGUCCGCUCUGGGUUAGUCGGGUCCUAAGCUGAGGCCGACAGGCGUAGGCGAUGGAUAACAGGUUGAUAUUCCUGUACCACCUAUAAUCGUUUUAAUCGAUGGGGGGACGCAGUAGGAUAGGCGAAGCGUGCGAUUGGAUUGCACGUCUAAGCAGUAAGGCUGAGUAUUAGGCAAAUCCGGUACUCGUUAAGGCUGAGCUGUGAUGGGGAGAAGACAUUGUGUCUUCGAGUCGUUGAUUUCACACUGCCGAGAAAAGCCUCUAGAUAGAAAAUAGGUGCCCGUACCGCAAACCGACACAGGUAGUCAAGAUGAGAAUUCUAAGGUGAGCGAGCGAACUCUCGUUAAGGAACUCGGCAAAAUGACCCCGUAACUUCGGGAGAAGGGGUGCUCUUUAGGGUUAACGCCCAGAAGAGCCGCAGUGAAUAGGCCCAAGCGACUGUUUAUCAAAAACACAGGUCUCUGCUAAACCGUAAGGUGAUGUAUAGGGGCUGACGCCUGCCCGGUGCUGGAAGGUUAAGAGGAGUGGUUAGCUUCUGCGAAGCUACGAAUCGAAGCCCCAGUAAACGGCGGCCGUAACUAUAACGGUCCUAAGGUAGCGAAAUUCCUUGUCGGGUAAGUUCCGACCCGCACGAAAGGCGUAACGAUUUGGGCACUGUCUCAACGAGAGACUCGGUGAAAUCAUAGUACCUGUGAAGAUGCAGGUUACCCGCGACAGGACGGAAAGACCCCGUGGAGCUUUACUGUAGCCUGAUAUUGAAAUUCGGCACAGCUUGUACAGGAUAGGUAGGAGCCUUUGAAACGUGAGCGCUAGCUUACGUGGAGGCGCUGGUGGGAUACUACCCUAGCUGUGUUGGCUUUCUAACCCGCACCACUUAUCGUGGUGGGAGACAGUGUCAGGCGGGCAGUUUGACUGGGGCGGUCGCCUCCUAAAAGGUAACGGAGGCGCUCAAAGGUUCCCUCAGAAUGGUUGGAAAUCAUUCAUAGAGUGUAAAGGCAUAAGGGAGCUUGACUGCGAGACCUACAAGUCGAGCAGGGUCGAAAGACGGACUUAGUGAUCCGGUGGUUCCGCAUGGAAGGGCCAUCGCUCAACGGAUAAAAGCUACCCCGGGGAUAACAGGCUUAUCUCCCCCAAGAGUUCACAUCGACGGGGAGGUUUGGCACCUCGAUGUCGGCUCAUCGCAUCCUGGGGCUGUAGUCGGUCCCAAGGGUUGGGCUGUUCGCCCAUUAAAGCGGUACGCGAGCUGGGUUCAGAACGUCGUGAGACAGUUCGGUCCCUAUCCGUCGUGGGCGUAGGAAAUUUGAGAGGAGCUGUCCUUAGUACGAGAGGACCGGGAUGGACAUACCUCUGGUGUACCAGUUGUCGUGCCAACGGCAUAGCUGGGUAGCUAUGUGUGGACGGGAUAAGUGCUGAAAGCAUCUAAGCAUGAAGCCCCCCUCAAGAUGAGAUUUCCCAACUUCGGUUAUAAGAUCCCUCAAAGAUGAUGAGGUUAAUAGGUUCGAGGUGGAAGCAUGGUGACAUGUGGAGCUGACGAAUACUAAUCGAUCGAAGACUUAAUCAA
RNAcentral lists this ribosomal RNA (2676 nucleotides) under Staphylococcus aureus. Its description in RNAcentral is "partial 23S ribosomal RNA". It matches the Rfam family "Bacterial large subunit ribosomal RNA". The record is from RNAcentral. Lineage: Bacteria; Bacillati; Bacillota; Bacilli; Caryophanales; Staphylococcaceae.